CCUACCUUACGAAGAAAUACAAAGUUCGUUUGGGUUCUGGGGGGAGUAUGGUCGCAAGGCUGAAACUUAAAGGAAUUGACGGAAGGGCACCACCAGGAGUGGAGCCUGCGGCUUAAUUUGACUCAACACGGGGAAACUCACCAGGUCCAGACAUGACUAGGAUUGACAGAUUGAUAGCUCUUUCAUGAUUUUAUGGGUGGUGGUGCAUGGCCGUUCUUAGUUGGUGGAGUGAUUUGUCUGGUUAAUUCCGAUAACGAACGAGACCUUAACCUGCUAAAUAGCCAGGCCGGCUUUUGCUGGUCUCCGGCUUCUUAGAGGGACUG
This 323-nucleotide non-coding RNA is filed under the name Serpula lacrymans var. lacrymans S7.3. Its description in RNAcentral is "Eukaryotic small subunit ribosomal RNA". It matches the Rfam family "Eukaryotic small subunit ribosomal RNA", at positions 1082 to 1422 of the family's 1831-position model. The record is from Rfam by way of RNAcentral. Lineage: Eukaryota; Fungi; Basidiomycota; Agaricomycetes; Boletales; Serpulaceae.